RNAcentral lists this unclassified non-coding RNA (705 nucleotides) under Hevea brasiliensis (rubber tree). The record is from RNAcentral. Lineage: Eukaryota; Viridiplantae; Streptophyta; Magnoliopsida; Malpighiales; Euphorbiaceae.
CUCUGUUGCUGAAGUUCCGUUUCUCACAAAUGAAGGAUUGAUUAGUAUCCUCUAACCCCAAUUCCUAAUCCAAAAUAUUUGAAAAGGAAAAAUAUGCCAAUCGCAGCUGUUUCACCACUGAGUCAUUGCUAUUGCACUACAUCACUUGUUAAAACCAGAAUCCCCAACCCCUCAUUAAAAUGCAAUUUCCUCUCCCCCAUUACCCGGAACCCACUUCGUUCCCACACCAAAACCCCUCUAACUCUCACCACCUGCCCUGGCAGAAGUAAGAAAUUUAACCUCACUAUUGUGGCAAUGAGCAUGGACGCUGGAGUUGGUGUGAUGGGAACCAAACUUGGCAUGAUGAGUUACUUUGAGCCUGAUGGGACGGUUGUGCCCGUCACAGUCGUUGGCUUUCGAGAAGGAAACAUUGUGACCCAAAUCAAGACUCAGGCCACUGAUGGGUAUGAUGCUGUUCAGGUGGGUUAUCGGAGGGUUAGGGAUAAAAAGCUGACAAAGCCUGAGUUGGGCCAUUUGGAGAAGGCAGGGAUUAUACCUAUGAGGCAUUUGCAGGAGUUUAGGUUGCAAAAUAUUGAUGGGUUUGAGGUUGGGCAGAAGUUGGUUCUCGAGGAGUUUUUAAAGGAAGGGGAUCUUGUUGAUGUCUCUGGAAUAACCAUUGGCAAAGGCUUUCAAGGUGGAAUUAAGCGGCACAAUUUCAAAAGGGGA